RNAcentral lists this ribosomal RNA (1137 nucleotides) under Triticum aestivum (bread wheat). RNAcentral describes it as "partial small subunit ribosomal RNA". Lineage: Eukaryota; Viridiplantae; Streptophyta; Magnoliopsida; Poales; Poaceae. The record is from RNAcentral.
AUGUUAAGGAGAUUUUUGAGGGGCUCUUCUAGCCAAGGCUCACAGGAAAAACAAGCUAAAGAGAAGGAAAAGGCCAAGUAUAAUCUUCCCCGUGUAGCGGAAGUACGGCCGUGUGAAUGGCCCUGUGAUGAUUUCUUGAGAGAAGCCGGGAUUUAUGAAAAAUUGUAUUCUUUGAUUGAAAAUGCAGGCCUCACCGACUUCCUCCACGACCGGAUCGAUCAGUAUCUCUUACUCACCAAUACUUUCGUGCAAAAAUUUUAUUACUAUCCUAAGAAAUCACUGCCUUCAGUAUCAUUUCAUUUAUAUGAUGAAUUCAAGGAAAUGUCUUUACGUAAUUUUUGCGCGGUAUGUAGAAUACCCUUUGAAGGCAAGUUAGAUGAACCACAUUGUAAAGAUGUGAAUGGCUUUGUUAACACCAUUACUGUAGGGGAUCCAAAGAAGGGUUCCGAUGCGAGAAUCUCUAGCAUUCACUUUCCUGUUUUACGCUACUUUGCCUUAUUUGCUAGUCGAUGCUUAAUUGGUCGUGGAAACAGUGGAAACUUUAGUGUCCCUGAUAUUAUUAUUCUGUUCCAUGCCUUGUUUGGUGAUAACAGUUUUAGUAUGGGUGCCGUUAUUGCUAAACGGCUAAGCCUGAACCAUACAAAAGGCCCCAUCUUUGGAGGUAUCUAUGCAGCACGCCUUGCCAAACAUUUUGAGAUACCUAUUAGGCACCAUGAGAAAGAGGAAAAAAUAUUGCCUCCUUACAUUUUAGAUUACAAGAGCAUGGUAGCACAUGAGUUUAUUGUUCAUAAUGAUGAUAGGAUGCUCCUGUAUAACUUGAGAUUUAAUAAGAAACACAAUGAAACUAUUAUCCUGCCUGCACCUCUGUUGUUUGAUUUGACUGUAGUUAAUUAUCUUGUCACGCUGGAAGCGGUGUAUGCUCAUCGAGGCCAAGCAUCCACUCCAGAGCCUGAGCCGGAACCUUCACUAGAUCCUUAUCGUUCAUCAUCUUACCAGUGGGAUCCGGAGGAGAUGGCCAGCCAUUGGUAUCCUGAUUACACCCCUCAGUACACCGGGGAGAGCGGUCCCCAAAAGCCUAAGCUUGGGGGAGUACGUAUUUCUCACCGACUUUACAUUCAUGUUCACACACUAUUCUAG